UCAUAUUUUCCUGCAUCUACAUCUGUUGCAGGGUUUCUUUUCUACGGUUGGUGUCAGCAGUCAGCUCAUCUCCUGGUUCAUCGUCCAGUAUUUGCACUCCUCUGAUCAACUUGCUAAGGAUUUCCUAAUGGAUCCUGUACACAUUCCACCAAGGGUUAUUUUGGAUGCUAUGCUGAACACACUCUAUAGCUCCCAAAAGCUGUGUACUACACCCAGCCUACAGGAGACAUUGGUAUAGAGACUGAUUGAGUAUUAUCCAUCUCUGCAGCACUUGCCAAAGAGCACUGUCAAGAGAUUUGUUUGUCAGUCUGAGUCAUCUUGCUACUUUUGCAGGUUUAUUUGCAUAUGAAAUCACCAGAAUUUUCGCCAUGGCUCUGGUUCUUGACAUGGGGGAGUAUAAUACAAAUGGUCCUUCAAAUCCAGUUGGAAGCUCCUCCCUGUAAUUGAUGAAGGCAGGAUUUACUAUUUCUAGGGAGUAAGAGGUUUAUUUGUUGAACCAUGAUAUCUAAGGGAGUAAGAGGCAACGUCCAGGGGUAUCUAAGAGAGCUGGUCCAGGCUUGAUGGAAAUCGCUUAGUACAUUCAUGGGAUCACAAACUUUUGGCGUUGGUUGAGAUUAGUGACGCGGGACCAUUAAUAACUAGAAGACUGUGACAAUUAACUUACUGUUUCAUGAAUUAGAGAGGCUGGGUUGGACCAACUCCAUGUUACAGGCCCUUUCCUCAUUGCAUUUCUCUUAACAUUAAAUUGAUUAAAUUAUAAUUUCAGUAGGAAAUCUACAACAUACCCAGAUCAUUAUGAUUACUCUUUAUUGUUUUUGUUUCUAUAUCUAAUUGAUAUAUAGAUUUUGCAUCUUGUCCUAUGACAUGUACUUCUGUAGUUGUGUCCAUUGGACUUACUCUUUUCAUUGUGGCAUCAUGAUUCCUCCUUUUCUUGGCUUGCUAUAUAUGUUUGUUUCAUGCUCCAUUUGGUGUUCCAAAAAUAUGCUCAAUUGUUAUAUGUAUCAAAUACAGUCUCUCCCAGUGGUGAACCAUCUGCUUAUUGUUUUACAUA
This is a non-coding RNA of Triticum urartu, 1051 nucleotides long. The record is from RefSeq and is a predicted model, not a curated record. NCBI's taxonomy places the organism in Eukaryota, Viridiplantae, Streptophyta, Magnoliopsida, Poales, Poaceae.